RNAcentral lists this ribosomal RNA (1315 nucleotides) under wastewater metagenome. RNAcentral describes it as "bacterial LSU rRNA". It matches the Rfam family "Bacterial large subunit ribosomal RNA", at positions 987 to 2317 of the family's 2925-position model. The record is from RNAcentral.
GACUGUGGGUGAUAAGGUCCAUGGUCAAAAGGGAAACAGCCCAGAUCAUCAGUUAAGGUCCCAAAAUUCUUGCUAAGUGGAAAAGGAUGUGGGGAUGCACAGACAACUAGGAGGUUGGCUUAGAAGCAGCCACCCUUCAAAGAGUGCGUAAUAGCUCACUAGUCGAGUGACCCUGCGCCGAAAAUUUACCGGGGCUAAGUAAGAUACCGAAACUAUGGAUGGUAUAGUAAUAUACCGUGGUAGGGGAGCGUUCUAAUCUGCAUUGAAGGUGUACCGUGAGGAGCGCUGGAGCGAUUAGAAGUGAGAAUGCCGGUGUGAGUAGCGAGAUGUCAGUGAGAAUCUGACACACCGAUAGCCCAAGGUUUCCAGGGGAAGGUUCGUCCGCCCUGGGUAAGUCGGGACCUAAGAUGAGGCCGAAAGGCGUAGUCGAUGGACAACGGGUUGAUAUUCCCGUACCCGCGUACAAGUGAUGGAGUGACAGAGAAGGCUAAGAUGAGCCGGCGAACGGAAGUGCCGGUCUAAGCGAGGUAGCAGUGUUGUAGGCAAAUCCGCAACACAAUGUGAAGACGUAAUGGGGAGUGAACGGGUGACCAAGUAACGAAGCAUCUGAUGCCAGCUUUCAAGAAAAGCUUCUAGCGUUAAUUGUAUGGCGGCCCGUACCAAAACCGACACAGGUGGGCAAGGAGAGAAUCCUGAGGUGAGCGAGAGAACUGUUGCCAAGGAACUCGGCAAAAUGACCCCGUAAGUUCGCGAGAAGGGGUGCACGCAAGUGCCGCAGUGAAGAGGCCCAAGCAACUGUUUAACUAAAACACAGCUCUAUGCAAAGUCGCAAGACGACGUAUAUGGGGUGACGCCUGCCCGGUGCUGGAAGGUUAAGGGGAUUUGUUAGUCGCAAGACGAAGCUUUGAACCGAAGCCCCAGUGAACGGCGGCCGUAACUAUAACGGUCCUAAGGUAGCGAAAUUCCUUGUCAGGUAAGUUCUGACCCGCACGAAAGGCGUAAUGAUUUGGGCGCUGUCUCGGCAGCAGACUCGGUGAAAUCUUAGUACCUGUGAAGAUGCAGGUUACCCGCAACUAGACGGAAAGACCCCAUGGAGCUUUACUGUAGCCUGAUAUUGAGUUUUGAACAAGUAUGUACAGGAUAGGUGGGAGACUAUGAAGUGUGGACGUUAGUCUGCAUGGAGUCGCCGUUGGGAUACCACUCUUGCUUGUUUGAAAUUCUAACCGACACCCAUGAUCUGGGUGCGGGACCGUGUCAGGUGGGCAGUUUGACUGGGGCGGUCGCCUCCUAAAGAGUAACGGAGGCGCUCAAAGGU